Non-coding RNA from Aspergillus fumigatus Af293, 99 nucleotides. Lineage: Eukaryota; Fungi; Ascomycota; Eurotiomycetes; Eurotiales; Aspergillaceae. The record is from the annotation of a RefSeq genome assembly.
GCCUGAAUAGUCUAGAGGUAGGAUUCAUCCUUCGGGAACUCCCGGCUCUCAAAAGAGCUAUGAAUGGAUGAGGCCCGCGUUCGAAUCGCGGUUCAGGCC